GGACUACAAGGGUUUCUAAUCCUGUUUGCUCCCCUUGCUCUCGCGCCUCAGCGUCAGGUCUUACCUAGAGAACCGCUUUCGCCACCGGUGUUCUUCCACAUAUCUACGCAUUUCACCGCUACACGUGGAAUUCCGUUCUCUCCGACAACCCUCGAGAAAUAUAGUUUCAAAUGCAGCUCCGAAAUUGAGUUCCGGAAUUUCACAUCUGACUUAUAUCUCCGCCUACGCGCCCUUUACGCCCAAUAAUUCCGAUUAAUGCUUGCACCCUCCGUAUUACCGCGGCUGCUGGCAC
Molecule: ribosomal RNA, 292 nt
Filed under: uncultured bacterium
Lineage: Bacteria
Description: partial 16S ribosomal RNA
Source: RNAcentral